AUGGUUAAAGCGUUGCUGCCGCCACCAGCCGUCUACGCCAUCGCCGCAACCAGCCGCCGGCACCAUCGCGUCCGACGCCGCAACCAGCUGCCGUCGUUGCGACCGCCAUCGGCGCCGCCGCAACCAGCUGCCGUCGUUGCGACCGCCGUCGGCGCCGCCGCUGUCGCCACCACAACCAGCCGCCGGCGCCAUCGCGUCCGCUGCCUGCGCUGCCGCAACCAGCCGCCGUCGUUGCGACCGCCGUCGGCGCCGCCGCUGUCGCCACCACAACCAGCCGCCGGCGCCAUCGCGUCCGCUGCCUGCGCUGCCGCAACCAGCCGCCGUCGUGUCCGCCGCCGGCGCUGCCGCUGUUGUCGUUGCUGUUAG
Molecule: ribosomal RNA, 366 nt
Filed under: Triticum aestivum (bread wheat)
Lineage: Eukaryota; Viridiplantae; Streptophyta; Magnoliopsida; Poales; Poaceae
Description: partial small subunit ribosomal RNA
Source: RNAcentral